RNAcentral lists this ribosomal RNA (403 nucleotides) under uncultured bacterium. RNAcentral's name for it is "partial 16S ribosomal RNA". It matches the Rfam family "Bacterial small subunit ribosomal RNA", at positions 28 to 526 of the family's 1533-position model. The record is from RNAcentral.
GACGAACGCUGGCGGCGUGCCUAAUACAUGCAAGUCGAACGCAGUGGGGACGGGUGAGUAACACGUGGGUAACCUCCCAUCAGAGGGGAUAACACUUGGAAACAGGUGCUAAACCGAUACUGAUGGAUGGACCCGCGGUGCAUUAGCUAGUUGGUGAGGUAACGGCUCACCAAGGCCACGAUGCAUAGGCGGCCCUGGAGGGUGGUCGGGCACACUGGGAACGAGACACGGGCCCAGCUCCCACGGGAGGGAGGGAGAGGGGAUUCUCCGCAAAGGGCGGAAGUUGGGCCGGACCACGGCGCGGGAGUGGAAAAGGUUUUCGGAUCGUAAAACUCUGUUGUUAGAGAAGCGGUAUCUAACCAGAAAGCCACGGCUAACUACGUGCCAGCAGCCGCGGUAAUUC